Molecule: long non-coding RNA, 3075 nt
Organism: Cairina moschata (Muscovy duck)
Lineage: Eukaryota; Metazoa; Chordata; Aves; Anseriformes; Anatidae
Source: Ensembl
CUAUAAUGCAAACGGUUUUAGAUUACUGCUUGUAAUGAAAUUUAAAUUAAUUUGUCAGCAAAGAGAUGGCAAAAGUUUGCCUGGUUAGUUCCCAGGAAAACCACAUUGCAGCGCCACCUCGUGAUGCUGAGAGGCAUUUUGGACUCAAUCUUCAGUUUCCACAAUUCUUUGUUCAAUACAUUUUUUAAAUUAACAUGCCUAAUGCACAUUGUUAGUCAAGUGUGCAUUUGAUUUAUGUCAUUGACGUUGUUACAGUAAAGAGAAAAUUUAUAAUACUGAUGUGCUGAAAUAGGACAUUUGAAUGUCAUUAUUUGUUUGAAUAGAAAAUGGUAAGAUAGUUUUAUUUGCUAUAUUUGCUAUUUUCAUAUGUUCUUUUUUUUUUUUUUUCUUCCUUAGGGUGAACCCGGUAGACCAGGACAAUCUGGUGAGCCUGGAUUCCCAGGAUCUCCGGGGCCUCGAGGCUUUCCUGGUGCUCCAGGUCUUCCAGGUCUUAAGGGUCACAGGGUAAGAAACAAGGUUUCCCUCUCCUUAUUCAUAACGUUUCAAGACAAUUUCAGUGCAAAGACAUUCAGCUUGGUUUGUAUUUGUGGUGAAUUUGACUACACUGUUAGUCCUGCCAAUCACAGCAGAACCACUGCCAUUAGAGAGAAAGAGGGCCUUGCAGAAAAUCAGCGCUAUUCCCAGCUAAGCUGACCUCCGUGUUAUAUUCUUGUGUCUUCACUUGAUUUUCAAAUGUUCUGGGAAUCUGGAAGAAGCCUGCGUGAGCCCUGCCAAGCUUCAGGAGGCACAAACCUGACAGUUCUCUCACUUUGUUGGCAAGUCUUGUGGUAGGGUGGGGAACUCGAGAGGUGGAUAUGUUUGCAGGAUGGACUGAUUACAAAUUACUGAGUUUUCUGGCCAGAACUUUACUUCAGGGAGGAAUAAAUAGGUUUCCUAUGGCUCAGAGCCUCAUCCCUGUUGUUUUAGGAUUUUUUUUUUUUUUUUAAACUCUUGUUUUAAAAAGGAAACUAAAUCCAAGGAAAUGUACCUUUUACAAAUGGUUUCCAUUUAGAAAAAGUUUAGAAACUUUUUCCCCUUUUCCAUCUGUUUUUUAUUUUUUUCCCCAUUCUUUCUUGCUCUUGCCACCUCCGGUCCAUUCUUAAGGCUUUAACAUCGAAUUAUUUUAACAAUAGUAGAAAUUUUGUGUGUGUGUGUAUACCAAUAUAAUCUUUCCAUAUAACAUUUACAGGGACUGAAAGGACUUGACGGUCCAAAAGGUGAAACUGGAGCAGCUGGAGCAAAGGUAUUUCCAUCGCUCAAAGAACUAAACACUUAAGCAUGGCUUCUGAAAUGCCAAAAUAGUGAAAGGUAAUAGAUCUUUAGAACAAAGCUUUGUAACCUCUCCUAUGAGUGGUACUUGCACGGAGUUACAUUUUUCCUGGAGAGGCUAUAUGGAAUUGCCUAUUUUUGCUGUGUGUUCAGUCCACAUCAAAUAUUAUAAACUGGCAUGUCUGGGCUCUGUACAGGAAGAGAGAGUUUGAGUGAACUGCUGGUCACAGUUUCACUUGGGGGUCAGUUUUAGUCCUGUAGAGUAUCAUGAGGUGAAUUAACUAAGGUCUCUCUGUGACACCUACGCAGUGUUGAAGACAGUAAAUUCUGUUAGCAAAGAGCCCAUACACAUUGCUGCUUGGCUAGUAUAUGGGUCUUGUUGGUUUUGUGGAACUGGUUGAGAGACUGCUCCAUUGCUUUCUGAAUUCCCUUGGAAAUCCUCAGAUUGUAGUGACUUGGGUCAGACAAAGUUAAAACAGAGUGAGGACAGUUUUUUAAUAUUUUCUGUAGUUAAUAAAAUAAAGCAAUUAAAUCCUAACUUUCUUCUUUUAGGUUACCAUAGUAGGUUUAAACUAGAUUGGCUUAAAAGAAGCAGAUGUUGCAGAGGAGAGCAGAGUUUAUCAAACCAAAUAUUUCUCACAUAACAAUUUUAUUCUCUUAGUAUUUUUGACCCUCACUGGUGAUCACCUUUAUUACUUUGGCUCAAAGCAGUGAUAACACGGGAUAGCCAGCUGCAUUCAAUAUUUUCAAGAUGGAUUAAAAAUUAUUUUAAUAAAGCGUAGAAAACUUUUUUUUCAGGAAUUUCCAUGCUAAUCAGUACCAAUACUGAAACAUUUUGGUUUGCUGAAGGUGAUAAUCAUAGAUGGGCUAAACCUAUUCCUUCAGAUUAAAAAUGUAGUAAAUGAAGGGAAUCUUCCACAAAUGUAAAUUUAAAUGUGAAAUCAGGAGUUGAAAGCUUGUCGAAGACGAGAUUUCUUUGCUAAGACUGUCUACCACUUUCUGUGGAUGCAACAAGAGCUGAAACAUUGGACUUGACAAUACUCCAUUAAUUGAUGAAUGAAAUGAAAAUGAAAGAGAGAGAUGGGAACACAGGGGGAGAAGAAGAUGACAGUGUUUCCUGCAUACCAAGGGGAUAUGAAAUGAUGCCCUCGGAGUAGGUGUGAUGUGCACAAACAACUAUGCAAAUCUGCCUCUUAGGUCUAACAGAAGUGCAGAGGAAGGGAAUGAGACAUGUAGCUCUCUUAUCUCCUAACCUGUUCCCUCUAACUGUGUCGUUUCAUUUCACUUUCUAGGGAGAAUCUGGACCAACAGGUGCCAUGGGUGCAACGGGUCCUCUAGUGAGUGUCACGUGUAGUGGAUAUUACUCACGGAACUGUUUUUAAGAUUGUUCAUGUUAUUGUCAGUAGUGCAUGCAGGAUUUUUAUGGUUUUGAGAUCUGUACUUGAUGUCUUGAGGCUGUUUUCUCCUUAUUAAGGCUUUGUUUUCUAUUGUACUAAAAGUAGUUCUAGUCCAUUGUAAGUUGUUAUUCCUGGAAAUUCACAGGCACACAAAUAAGUACGAUAAAUUGCAAGAUUUUAACAGAAAUUUGAAUGUAGGUUUUGUAGUUUGCAUGGAAAUUUAGGGGUAACUACAUUCUUCUGCCUUUUUUUUUUUUUUUUCGCCCUCCAGUGUGUUGAUGUUUCAUCUGGAUUAGGUUAUCCCAUUCUGUGAUAGAAAUGGAAUAAUUUAGAUCAGAGAUGCACUAAGUAAGAAAAUCACAGAGAGAGG